CUCUUCUUCACAGCUUCCAAUUCUUAUUGAUGCUUCCUUUGUAUCUCUUCAAAUGCUCUAUCUUGUGCUUCAAGUCUCACAACUAACUCCCACCAAUGCCUAUAAAUUGAGGAAACACAACAACGUGUUGCAUCUUAAUGAGAUGAAAACAUACAAGAUAAUAACAUAUAAUAGUACCACUAAGAAGCAUACAAUUUACUAAAUUGUGAAUCUGAGUAAAUUAUUAACUAAAUUUGCGAGUAUGCGGAUGGGUCAAUAAAACGGUAUAUUAGUUUGGCAAAACAAGAAGACACAAACUUUUAUAAAAAUUGCUAGUCAAAAUAAUUUACAUGGAUCCCUGCUACACUUUUAACUAGUGUGUUGCUUAAAGUCUUAAGUAGCAUGUGAAUGACUAGUGAGUCCACUAGGGCAGCGUACGACAAUGAACUAUAAUAAUCUACUAGACAUAUUUCAUAAUUAGUUGCAUAAGUAUAGUUGUUUGACGCUUUGGUUACUACAAAAGUUUAGAUCAGCACAUCACUAAAAAAACAGAUCAGUAAUGUACCAAAAAUUUGCAGACCAAAACACAAAAAUGUUUCUUUAGUAAGGAGUGACAUCCAUUCAUCCAUUCAAUAUAUUGAACGAUCUCAGAAUAAUGCAAUAUCUAGAGGUCAUCACCCAACCACUACAGGCCAAAUUAUUCCUAUUAACUUUGUGUUUUCUCAUCUCUGAGUUGAUUCAGACAUGCUAUGAAUUUGGCCGUUCAUCACCUUACGUACAACCAAGUGCCAUAAGCAACUAGCACUAGUACAAUUGUGUGCUUACUCACCUUCCCCGGCAGCUAUAGCUAAUUGUGUACUUGCACUUCAGUUGUACAAUGCUUCCUCGAUCUAAAUAUAACAAAUAAAAAUACAAGUUAUGCACAAAGGAAGGACACGAUGAGCUUAAAUGUUAGGCAUACACAAACAGGUAAGGAAUUGUCAAGUACUGGACUGUAAGAAAACAGAAAGUGGAGAAGCAACAAGCAAGUAGUAAAAUGUUUAAGGUUCAGACUUUACCAACAUAGCAAGGUCGAUAUGAUUAUCUUGAUAUUGCAAACCCAGUCCUGGUACCUACUGUGAGCAGCUGAUUAAUGCACCUGCAUUAUAGGGGAAUAAAACAGUAGAGAAACAAUAUACUAACAAGUGUUCACAUGGAGAAAAAAUAUUACAGAAUAACAUAAUCAUUUUCUCUUUUACCAACAGUAUGAGCAUCUGAAUGAACCUUUUAGUAUACAGAUUUUUUAGCAGCUAGCAACUAUGGUAUGGCCCAUGAUACAAGCCGUUGACAUAUCCUUGUUAACUGUUAUCACAGAAUAUUGACUUCUUGUGCAUAGUUACUAAUAAAAGGCUAUUCCUAGUACAGUUUCACUGUUAAUACUCUGAACGUAGAGUCUAGUCACAUAUUAGAUGUUCUUGAGCAUGCUGGAGAUUGCAUAAUCUUGCAGCUUAAAGUGGAAACUUGAGUUGAAAUUAUCCAUUGUAGAAAUUUAGAGAUAGUCAGGAACAUAGAAGUAUAAACCAUACCUUUGAUAAGAGCAAAGGACAUUGAUCUUACUCCUGAUCUAG
This 1586-nucleotide long non-coding RNA is filed under the name Triticum aestivum (bread wheat). RNAcentral's name for it is "long non-coding RNA (TAES_LNC016695)". The record is from RNAcentral. Lineage: Eukaryota; Viridiplantae; Streptophyta; Magnoliopsida; Poales; Poaceae.